RNAcentral lists this ribosomal RNA (397 nucleotides) under uncultured bacterium. RNAcentral describes it as "bacterial SSU rRNA". It matches the Rfam family "Bacterial small subunit ribosomal RNA", at positions 361 to 774 of the family's 1533-position model. The record is from RNAcentral.
AUAUUGCAAAAUGGGCGAAAGCCCGAUGCAGCAACGCCGCGUGGGCGAUGAAGGCCUUCGGGUCGUAAAGCCCUUUUUGAGGGGAUGAGGAAGGACAGUACCCUCAGAAUAAGCCUCGGCUAACUACGUGCCAGCAGCCGCGGUAAAACGUAGGAGGCGAGCGUUAUCCGGAUUUACUGGGCGUAAAGCGCGUGCAGGCGGAUUGGAGAGUUGGAUGUGAAAGCUCCCGGCUUAACUAGGAGAGGUCGUUCAAUACUUCCAGUCUUGAGUGCAGUAGAGGGAAGUGGAAUUCCGUGUGUAAUGGUGAAAUGCGUAGAUAUCCGGAGGAACACCAGUGGCAAAAGCGGCUUCAUGGACUGUAACUGACGCUCAGACGCGAAAGCUAGGGUAGCAAACG